RNAcentral lists this ribosomal RNA (465 nucleotides) under uncultured ammonia-oxidizing beta proteobacterium. RNAcentral's name for it is "bacterial SSU rRNA". It matches the Rfam family "Bacterial small subunit ribosomal RNA", at positions 198 to 644 of the family's 1533-position model. Lineage: Bacteria; Pseudomonadati; Pseudomonadota; Betaproteobacteria. The record is from RNAcentral.
GGAGGAAAGCAGGGGAUCGCAAGACCUCGCGCUAUUGGAGCGGCCGAUGUCCGAUUAGCUAGUUGGUGAGGUAAAGGCUCACCAAGGCUACGAUCGGUAGCUGGUCUGAGAGGAUGAUCAGCCACACUGGGACUGAGACACGGCCCAGACUCCUACGGGAGGCAGCAGUGGGGAAUUUUGGACAAUGGGCGCAAGCCUGAUCCAGCCAUGCCGCGUGAGUGAAGAAGGCCUUCGGGUUGUAAAGCUCUUUCGGCCGGAACGAAAUCAUCUGGGUUAACACCUCAGAUGGAUGACGGUACCGGAAGAAGAAGUACCGGCUAACUACGUGCCAGCAGCCGCGGUAAUACGUAGGGUGCAGGCGUUAAUCGGAAUUACUGGGCGUAAAGCGUGCGCAGGCGGCUUCCUAAGUCAGAUGUGAAAUCCCCGGGCUUAACCUGGGAACUGCGUUUGAAACUACAAGGCUAG